This 460-nucleotide ribosomal RNA is filed under the name uncultured bacterium. Its description in RNAcentral is "partial 16S ribosomal RNA". It matches the Rfam family "Bacterial small subunit ribosomal RNA", at positions 338 to 795 of the family's 1533-position model. The record is from RNAcentral.
CCUACGGGUGGCAGCAGUGAGGAAUAUUGGUCAAUGGACGAGAGUCUGAUCCAGCCAAGCAGCGUGAAGGAUGACUGCCCUAUGGGUUGUAAACUUCUUUUAUAUGGGAAUAAAACGUUCCACGUGUGGGAUUUUGUAUGUACCAUAUGAAUAAGGAUCGGCUAACUCCGUGCCAGCAGCCGCGGUAAUACGGAGGAUCCGAGCGUUAUCCGGAUUUAUUGGGUUUAAAGGGAGCGUAGGGGGAUUUGUAAGUCAGUUGUGAAAGUUUGCGGCUCAACCGUAAAAUUGCAGUUGAAACUGGCAGUCUUGAGUACAGUAGAGGUGGGCGGAAUUCGUGGUGUAGCGGUGAAAUGCUUAGAUAUCACGAAGAACACCGAUUGCGAAGGCAGCUCACUGGACUGCAACUGACACUGAGGCUCGAAAGUGUGGGGAUCAAACAGGAUUAGAUACCCCUGUAGUC